GUGUUUACAGUGUGUGUGUGUUCUUCUAUGCUAAGCACUAUUGUGUGUUUGUAGUUGAAGGACCCGCGGUUUGAGUGGACGAAAGAUAGGACGUUGCUGCUGAAUGACGUCACACACCGUGACCAGGGGCUCUACUCUAUCAAACUGUCCUCUGGAUUCACCUAUGAGACCGUUCGCCUCACUGUCUCAGAAUGUAUAAAAACCUUCCGUCUGGGCUAUGGGGAAACCUUUCAGCACAACAUCCCUAAAUAUGGCUCCGUGCUGGAGUUCUCUCCCCGGGGCUCCCCCUCUGACUCCCAGACGGUAUUACUGUGGAACCGGAUGGACCCUGAGACCAGCGAGGCGAGCCGGGGGAGGCUAGGGUCAAGUGGGAGGGUCUGGGUGGCAGAGAGGGUGACCCAGGCAGACCAGGGAAACUACACCCUCCGAGACGAGAAUGGGAAAGUAAUCUCCCGCAGCAAGUUGACUGUCAAUGGUGAGCACUAGAAAGAUCAAAGAGAUCUGGAUGAAGGGGAGUUUGAAAUGAAAAGGGAGAUGGAGAGAGGGAGAUGGGAUCGGAGGCUAGGAGAGAAGAGAUUGCGAUAUUAGAUCUGACAAACGGUCAAAACUGACUCAUAAUCCAAACUGACUCUUAAUUGUAUCUGAUUCUUUCAUCCUGAUGCCCCUCAUCGUCCUCAUGUCCCCUCCUUAAUUUCUCCUUUUUCUUUUCCUUUACACUCUUUCCAAUUCUCUCUCUCUCAUUAUCCCAUGUGUGGGUGCAGGGCACAACUUCAAUGUCACCCGCUUCUUCAAGGAGUCUCUAAACCUUCCCCUUUUUCUCCCUGUCCCUCAUGUCCAACUCAUUUUUACCCCAUCCCUGCACCUCUCCAACCCCUCCAACGUGCCCCUUGAGUCCCGGUACUCUCGCCCCGUGCAGCUGAUCAGGGAUGGCCAGAUUGUGGACCAGGACCCCCGGUACUGGGGCCUCCUUUCUCUGGGGAGAAACGGGACUGUCAACGAGGUGGUCAUCACCAGGCUGAGUGCAAAGCAUGAUGGGAUGUAUGAGAUCCGAGAUCAGGGCGGCAACCUGGUGUCGUCCACCAUUCUCCAUGUGGUCGAUAAGACUGCUAGAUGGAGAGCAGUCCUCAAGUCCAUCAGUGUUCCUUUUGGCAUGUUUGUGACUUUGGCUGGUUUCAUCCUAUUUAUGAAGCGCUACCCUAACUGCAGCCUCACUAUGAUAAUCAACGGCCUAAGAGGUCACCAUACAACAGCAUCUAACCAUCAAAGAGUCAAUGUCCAGGACUACAGUCCACCCAGCCUCCAGCCCUCUGGCAUUUAGUCAUUCAAAGCAGAUUGUAACGGCAAAAAUAUGGAGCCCCAGACCUACACAUUCGGUAGGUAGACGGUGAAGUUGUAAAUGUAGGCUCUUUUCACCAUUAUUAUAGAUUUCUAUAUUAUGUGUCUUUCUCAGGGUUACAUUCCUGUCGUGGACAGUGGACCACAGCCCUCCCCUGAGCCAGUGAGGACAGCGAGACAACAGGAGACCGAUAGACUUAGAGUUGAGACUGCCACUACUCACACUCCUAGUGAAGAGGUAAAUACACACACUGUUUCUAUUUUCUGUCUCACAAUGGACAAUUAACUUAUAUUCUGCUCUUUCGUUUUGUCAUUGACUCCCUCUCUCUUCUCAGGAGACUGCUGACAGAGAGAGGGAGAUCUCCUUUCAAAUCAAAUCAAAUCAAAUUUAUUUAUAUAGCCCUUCGUACAUCAGCUGAAAUCUCAAAGUGCUGUACAGAAACCCAGCCUAAAACCCCAAACAGCAAGCAAUGCAUGUGAAAGAAGCACGGUGGCUGGGAAAAACUCCCUAGGAAAAACUCCUGAGAAAGGCCAAAAACCUAGGAAGAAACCUAGAGAGGAACCAGGCUAUGAGGGGUGGCCAGUCCUCUUCUGGCUGUGCCGGGUGGAUAUUAUAACAGAACAUGGUCAAGAUGUUAAAAUGUUCGUAAAUGACCAGCAUGGUCAAAUAAUAAUAAUCAUAGUAAUUGUCGAGGGUGCAACAAGCACGUCCGGUGAAACAGGUCAGGGUUCCGUAGCCCGCAGGCAGAACAGUUGAAACUGGAGCAGCAGCAUGGCCAGGUGGACUGGGGACAGCAAGGAGUCAUCAUGCCAGGUAGUCCUGAGGCAUGGUCCUAGGGCUCAGGUCCUCCGAGAGAAAGAAAGAAAGAAAGAGAGAAGAGAGAAUUAGAGAGAGCAUAUUUACAUUCACACAGGACACCGGAUAAGACAAGAGAAUACUCCAGAUGUAACAGACUGACCCUAGCCCCCCGACACAUAAACUACUGCAGCAUAAAUACUGGAGGCUGAGACAGGAGGGAUCAGAAGACACUGUGGCCCCAUCCGAUGAUACCCCCGGACAGGGCCAAACAGGCAGGAUAUAACCCCACCCACUUUGCCAAAGCACAGCCCCCACACCACUAGAGGGAUAUCUACAACCACCAACUUACCGUCCGAAGACAAGGCCGAGUAUAGCCCACAAAGAUCUCCGCCACGGCACAACCCAAGGGGGGGGCGCCAACCCAGACAGGAAGACCACGUCAGUGGCUCAACCUACUCAAGUGACGCACCCCUCCCAUGGACGGCAUGGAAGAACACCAGUAAGUCAGUGACUCAGCCCCUGUAAAAGGGUUAGAGGCAGAGAAUCCCAGUGGGAAGAGGGGAACCGACAAGGCAGAGACAGCAAGGGCGGUUCGUUGCUCCAGCCUUUCCGUUCACCUUCACACUCCUGGGCCAGACUAUACUUAAUCAUAGGACCUACUGAAGAGAUAAGUCUUCAGUAAAGACUUAAAGGUUGAGACUGAGUCUGCGUCUCUCACAUGGGUAGGCAGACCAUUCCAUAAAAAUGGAGCUCUAUAGGAGAAAGCCCUACCUCCAGCCGUUUGCUUAGAAAUUCUAGGGACAAUUAGGAGGCCUGCGUCUUGUGACCGUAGCGUACGUGUAGGUAUGUACGGCAGGACCAAAUCGGAAAGAUAGGUAGGAGCAAGCCCAUGUAAUGCUUUGUAGGUUAGCAGUAAAACCUUGAAAUCAGCCCUUGCCUUAACAGGAAGCCAGUGUAGGGAGGCUAGCACUGGAGUAAUAUGAUCAAAUUUUUUGGUUCUAGUCAGGAUUCUAGCAGCCGUAUUUAGCACUAACUGAAGUUUGUUUAGUGCUUUAUCCAGGUAGCCGGAAAGUAGAGCAUAGCAGUAGUCGAGCCUAGAAGUAACAAAAGCAUGGAUUAAUUUUUCUGCGUCAUUUUUGGACA
Molecule: long non-coding RNA, 3277 nt
Organism: Salmo trutta (river trout)
Lineage: Eukaryota; Metazoa; Chordata; Actinopteri; Salmoniformes; Salmonidae
Source: Ensembl